UCUAUGAAAUGAAAUUUUUUGAAUUUUUAAGAUUCUACCAUCCAUUUUUUAAUAAGUCUCAUUCUUCACAGCUCUUUUUCAGAGUAAACCCUACAUUAUUUCCUUUUUCCUGUGAUUCUGGAGGAGUCCUUUUCAAGCUUUCCCCUUCAUUUGGGUGGAGCAUGAUAAGAUCAGUUCCUUCACCUGGCAUUUCUGGAGGUCCCCAAAAUUCCUACCAACCCAGCUGGUAUGACAAAGGGAAGGCCAUGUGCAAGAUUUGGAGGCUCCAUGGCACUAGAAAUACAGCCAGGAGAAAUACAUGUCAAGUCGCAGCCUUAUCUGUAACCAAGGAUACACCAGGGUAAGAAUUAAGGAAAAAUGCUGAUGAUUAAUAUUACACUGGCAGCUGGGUUCCUCCAUAGCUUCCCAGCCUGUUGUGUGAAUUCCAGAAGACUCCAUUUCACAGCUUGGUUGUACUGCUUAUGCUGUAGUAAUGUGUGGAAACUCAGUGGGCCAGCUCCCAG
This 503-nucleotide long non-coding RNA is filed under the name Cyanistes caeruleus (blue tit). Its description in RNAcentral is "lncRNA (ENSCCEG00000007868.1)". The record is from RNAcentral. Lineage: Eukaryota; Metazoa; Chordata; Aves; Passeriformes; Paridae.